GAUGAACGCUGGCGGCGUGCCUAAUACAUGCAAGUCGAGCGAACGGACGAGAAGCUUGCUUUUCUGAUGUUAGCGGCGGACGGGUGAGUAACACGUGGAUAACCUACCUAUAAGACUGGGAUAACUUCGGGAAACCGGAGCUAAUACCGGAUAAUAUUUUGAACCGCAUGGUUCAAAAGUGAAAGACGGUCUUGCUGUCACUUAUAGAUGGAUCCGCGCUGCAUUAGCUAGUUGGUAAGGUAACGGCUUACCAAGGCAACGAUGCAUAGCCGACCUGAGAGGGUGAUCGGCCACACUGGAACUGAGACACGGUCCAGACUCCUACGGGAGGCAGCAGUAGGGAAUCUUCCGCAAUGGGCGAAAGCCUGACGGAGCAACGCCGCGUGAGUGAUGAAGGUCUUCGGAUCGAAAAACUCUGUUAUUAGGGAAGAACAUAUGUGUAAGUAACUGUGCACAUCUUGACGGUACCUAAUCAGAAAGCCACGGCUAGCUACGUG
RNAcentral lists this ribosomal RNA (497 nucleotides) under uncultured bacterium. RNAcentral describes it as "partial 16S ribosomal RNA". It matches the Rfam family "Bacterial small subunit ribosomal RNA", at positions 28 to 507 of the family's 1533-position model. The record is from RNAcentral.